Molecule: long non-coding RNA, 296 nt
Filed under: Phoenix dactylifera (date palm)
Lineage: Eukaryota; Viridiplantae; Streptophyta; Magnoliopsida; Arecales; Arecaceae
Description: long non-coding RNA (PDAC_LNC023030)
Source: RNAcentral
CUAGUCGGUGAGCCUGGGAAAACCGACUGAGUUCGUUGUGAGCUCGUAAAACAACAAGUUUGGUUGUGAGCUUGCAAAACAACCAGCUGUAAUCCAAGGGGGUUAUAGUGAAUUCCCAAGAGAGACUUGGGGAGUGGACGUAGGAGCAAGGGCUAGCUCCGAACCACUAUAAAACUCUGUGUUUGCAUUGGAUUGUCUCUUCUCUUCUUCCUCUCACAUCACUCACAGCACUUAGCAUUAAUUAAAUAACUUGCAAUAGUUUUUAAUUAAUCAUCCUUAAAGUUUUAAAUAUCUAA